CCUACGGGAGGCAGCAGUGAGGAAUAUUGGUCAAUGGACGAGAGUCUGAACCAGCCAAGUAGCGUGAAGGAUGACUGCCCUAUGGGUUGUAAACUUCUUUUAUAAAGGAAUAAAACGAGGCACGUGUGCCUUUUUGCAUGUACUUUAUGAAUAAGGAUCGGCUAACUCCGUGCCAGCAGCCGCGGUAAUACGGAGGAUCCGAGCGUUAUCCGGAUUUAUUGGGUUUUAAGGGAGCGUAGAUGGGUUGUUAAGUCAGUUGUGAAAGUUUGCGGCUCAACCGUAAAAUUGCAAUUGAUACUGGCAGUCGUGAGUACAGUUGAGGUAGGCGGAAUUCGUGGUGUAGCGGUGAAAUGCUUAGAUAUCACGAAGAACCCCGAUUGCGAAGGCAGCUUACUAAACUGUGACUGACAUUGAUGCUCGAAAGUGUGGGUAUCAAACAGGAUUAGAUACCCUGGUAGUC
This 460-nucleotide ribosomal RNA is filed under the name uncultured bacterium. RNAcentral describes it as "partial 16S ribosomal RNA". It matches the Rfam family "Bacterial small subunit ribosomal RNA", at positions 338 to 795 of the family's 1533-position model. The record is from RNAcentral.